GACUAGUGGUGGAUACAUGAAUUCACACAGGUGGUAGAAUUAUACAGACAUUAAUACACACACAGUGAAAGUAAAACUAGGAAAAUCUGCCUAAGGUAAGUAGAUGGAGUUACUGUCAAUGUCCUUGUUUUGCAAAACAUCACCAUUGUGAGAUCCUAUUGAGAAUCUGAAACACAGCCUUGGUUAUAUGCUUUUUUCUUUUUUUACCCUGUAAAAAUGUUCCUUUUACCCUGUAAAGUGUUCCUUUUUAUACUGGUAAGUAUAAAAGGAACAAAUUAUACUGGUAAGUAAAAAUUACUGAUAAAGUAACUUUAAACUGAAUAUGGGAAAUAACUGCUGUGCUGUAUGGUAUAAAUAAAUAAUAUAUUUAUCUAUAACAAUACUACUUUAUAUAAUGGAACUAGAUGUCACAAAUGGCUCUAGUACUAGUAAUGCAAUUAAUCAAUAUAAUGUUUUGUAGGGUUUUGUUUUUUAUACUCUUUGUUAAGCCUCCAAACUAGCAAGUACCCAUUACAGUAAAUGUACAAUGGAUUAUUUCUGUUUCCGCGUUUCAGUCAUUAACUCAUUAGUUGCAUAAUCUUAAGGUCAAAUUACCUUGUUGAAGGGGACAGUCUGGAUCCAUUCCGUGGAGCUCACAUCAAAAACGUCUGCUGCAUUUUCACUGUGCACUGAGAGGCACGGGGCAUUGUAACCUGGGAGGAGCAAAGACGGUAACAGCAAACAUGGGCUCCGUGAUACCUUUUUCAGUGAAUUUUUGAUGAGAUAAUUAUAGAUUCACAUGUAGUUGUAAAAAUAAUACAGAGAGAUCCCUUGUACACUCUGCCCAGAUUCAAUUCACAACAAAAUAAAACUUCAGUGUCUGGAUUACAAAUAAUUUAAAACAUAGCUAAAAAUGUAAAAGUAAAAACCUGCCGUUUUGCUAAGACCAGACCAUCAAAUAUUUAAGAGCAUUUAACUUCCAGGACUUGUGGAGUAUGCAUGACAUGAGCCACCAAAAAGAAGUUUUUAAAGGAAGAGUUAAAAUAAGUGAAAUUUUUUUCUACCUUCAUCAGUAUAAGCAGUGGAAAACACUUUUGAAAGGGCUGUCCCACCACAUAAAACGUUACAUUUGUGCUUUUCCAGCAUUCUUUUUUUUGUUUGGUUGUAUGUUUUUAUUUUUUAUUAUACUUUAAGUUUUAGGGUACAUGUGCACAACGUGCAGGUUUGUUACAUGUGUAUACAUGUGCCAUGUUGGUGUGCUCCACCCAUUAACUCAUCAUUUAACAUUAGGCAUAUCUCCUAAUGCUAUCCCUCCCCCCUCCCCCCACCCCACAACAGGCCCCAGUGUGUGAUGUUCCCCUUCCUGGGUCCAUGUGUUCUCAUUGUUCAGUUCCCACCUAUGAGUGAGAACAUGUGGUGUUUGGUUUUUUUGUCCUUUCGAUAGUUUGCUGAGAAUGAUGGUUUCCAGCUUCAUCCAUGUCCCUGCAAGGGACAUGAACUCAUCAUUUUUUAUGGCUGCAUAGUAUUCCAUGGUGUAUAUGUGCCACAUUUUCUUAAUCCAGUUUAUCAUUGUUGGACAUUUGGGUUAGUUCCAAGUCUUUGCUACUGUGAAUAGUGCCGCAAUAAACAUACGUGUGCAUGUGUCUUUAUAGCAGCAUGAUUUAUAAUCCUUUGGGUACAUACCCAGCAAUGGGAUGGCUGGGUCAAAUGGUAUUUCUAGUUCUAGAUCCCUGAGGAAUCGCCACACUGACUUCCACAAUGGUUGAACUAGUUUACAGUCCCACCAACAGUGUAAAAGUGUUCCUAUUUCUCCACAUCCUCUCUAGUACUUGUUGUUUCCUGACUUUUUAAUGAUCACCAUUCUAACUGGUGUGAGAUGGUAUCUCAUUGCGGUUUUGAUUUGCAUUUCUCUGAUGGCCAGUGAUGAUGAGCAUUUUUUCAUGUGUCUUUUGGCUGCAUAAAUGUCUUCUUUUGAGAAGUGUCUGUUCAUGUCCUUCACCCACUUUUUGAUGGGGUUGUUUUUUUCUUGUAAAUUUGUUUGAGUUCAUUAUAGAUUCUGGGUAUUAGCCCUUUGUCAGAUGAGUAGAUUGCAAAAAUUUUUCUCAUUCUGUAUGUUGCCUGUUCACUCUGAUGGUAGUUUCUUUUGCUGUGCAGAAGCUCUUUAGUUUAAUUAGAUCCCAUUUGUCAAUUUUGGCUUUUGUUGCCAUUGCUUUUGGUGUUUUAGACAUGCAGCCCUUGCCCAUGCCUAUGUCCUGAAUGGUAUUGCCUAGGUUUUCUUCUAGGGUUUUUAUGGUUUUAGGUCUAACAUGUAAGUCUUUAAUCCAUCUUGAAUUAAUUUUUGUAUAAGGUGUAAGGAAGGGGUCCAGUUUCAGCUUUCUACAUAUGGCUAGCCAGUUUUCCCAGCACCAUUUAUUAAAUCGGGAAUCCUUUCCUCAUUUCUUGUUUUUGUCAGGUUUGUCAAAGAUCAGAUGGUUAUAGAUGUGUGGUAUUAUUUCUGAGGGCUCUGUUCUGUUCCAUUGGUCUAUAUCUCUGUUUUGGUACCAGGCGCCUCCGCAACCUCCCAGGAGCUCUGACCAAGGCGCCUCACUGGGGUGGGGAACUUGCCUCACCUGGGGCCAUUUCAUAAUUCUGAAUCAUGUGUGAUAACGGAGAACUGGAAGACAAGCCUCCAGCACCUCCCGUGCGAAUGAGCGGGACCAUCUUUAGCACUGGAGGCAAAGACCCUUUGUCAGCCAAUCACAGUUUGAAACCUUUGCCUUCUGUUCCAGAGGAGAAAAAGCCCAGGCAUAAAAUCAUCUCCAUAUUCUCAGGCACAGAGAAAGGAAGUAAAAAGAAAGAAAAGGAACGGCCAGAAAUUUCUCCUCCAUCUGAUUUUGAACACACCAUCCAUGUUGGCUUUGAUGCUGUUACUGGAGAAUUCACUGGCAUGCCAGAACACUGGGCUCGAUUACUACAGACCUCAAAUAUCACCAAACUAGAGCAAAAGAAGAAUCCUCAGGCUGUGCUGGAUGUCUACGACUCCAACACAGUGAAGCAGAAGUAUCUGAGUUUUACUCCUCCUGAGAAAGAUGGCUUCCCUUCUGGAACACCAGCACUGAAUGCCGAGGGAACAGAAGCACCUGCAGUAGUGACAGAGGAGGAGGACGAUGAUGAAGAGACUGCCCCUCCCGUUAUUGCCCCACCACCGGAUCAUAUGAAAUCAAUUUACACACGGUCUGUAAUUGACCCUGUUCCUGCACCAGUUGGUGAUUCAAAUGUUGAUGGUGGUGCCAAGUCUUUAGACAAACAGAAAAAGAAGACUAAGAUGACAGAUGAAGAGAUUAUGGAGAAACUAAGAACUAUUGUGAGCAUAGGUGACCCUAAGAAAAAAAUAUACAAGAUAUGAAAAAAUUGGACAAGGGGCUUCUGGUACAGUUUUCACUGCUACUGACGUUGCACUGGGACAGAAGGUUGCUAUCAAACAAAUUAAUUUACAGAAACAGCCAAAGAAGGACUUGAUCAUUAAUGAGAUUCUGGUAAUGAAAGAAUUAAAAAAUCCCAACAUAGUUAACUUCUUGGACAGUUACCUGGUAGGAGAUGAAUUGUUUGUGGUCGUGGAAUACCUUGCUAGGGGGUCACUCACUGAUGUGGUAACAGAAACCUGCAUGGAUGAAGCACAGAUUGCCGCUGUAUGCAGAGAGAGUUUACAGGCAUUGGAGUUUUUACAUGCUAAUCAAGUGAUCCACAGAGACAUCAAAAGUGACAGUGUACUUUUGGGAAUGGAAGGAUCGGUUAAGCUCACUGACUUUGGUUUCUGUGCCCAGAUCACCCCUGAGCAGAGCAAACGCAGUACCGUGGUCAGAACGCCAUACUGGAUGGCACCAGAAGUGGUUACACGGAAGGCUUAUGGCCCUAAAGUCAAUGUAUGGUCUCUGGGUAUCAUGGCUACUGAGAUGGUAGAAGGAGAGCCUCCAUACCUCAAUGAAAAUCCCUUGAGGGCCUUGUGCCUAAUAGCAACUAAUGGAAUCCCAGAACUUCAGAAUCCAGAGACACUUUCCCCAAUAUUUCGGGAUUUCUUAAAUCGAUGUUUGGAAACAGAUGUGGAAAAAAGGGGUUCAGCCAAAGAAUUAUUACAGCAUCUUUUCCUGAAACUAGCCAAACUGUUAUCUAGCUUGACACCACUGAUCAUGGCAGCUAAAGAAGCAAUGAAGAGUAACCGUUAACAUCACUGCUGUGGCCUCAUAUUCUUUUUUCCAUUUUCUACAAGAAGCCUUUUAGUAUAUGAAAAUUAUUACUCUUUUGGGGGUUUAAAGAAAUGGUCUGCAUAACCUGAAUGAAAGAAGCAAAUGACUAUUCUCUGAAGACAACCAAGAGAAAAUUGCAAAAAGAAAAGUAUGACUUUUAUAUGAACCCCUUCUUUAGGGUCCAAAAGGAAUUGUGGACUGAAUCACUAGCCUUAGGUCUUUCAGCAAACCGCCUAUCAGGGCCAUUUAUCAUAUGUGAGAUUUGCAUUUUACUUUGCUGACUUUGUUGUAAUAGAUCCCAUUCAUUGUCCCCUUUGGGGUAUUUCCAAUACUUGAAUGGCAGAUUGGAGUUUUUCAGAGUAUUUGUUUCAUCUGCUAGUCUUUCUCUCCUUCAUAGCUUUCCUUUUCCUGGACUUGCUCCUUUUGAGUUGCUUUUGAGUUUCUCAUGCCUAGGUAAGUGUAAUAGAAAUUAUGUAGCUCCUUAUGUUGGCAAAGGAGCUCUAUAUAGUUUCACUUUUUAUAAAAGUUAGGACCAGCUGUUGUUACAUGUAAUAUUUUAGUUCAGAACUUGACCUGAAGGAAGGGAAGAAAAGUAUUUGAUUUUUACCUUUUUUAAUAAAUGUGAAAAAGUCAGUUUUAGAAAUUUUGUGGUAGUAAGUUUGGCAUUUGUUACAUGUAUAGAGAGAAGACUAAUAAUCUCUAUUUAUAACUAAAUCAUUGAGAUAGAAAAAGAUUCCCAUUGACCGUGUAUUUCUUCCCAUUUCGUCUUCCCUUCUGCCUGUUUCCCCUUCAGGCUUGGCUCUAGGAACCAAAGUGAUUUGUUCUUGUUCCAACCUGGGCUUUGUGACUUUGGUUAGUGCCACUACCUUCUUCCCUCCUUUCCCCCUUCAAUUUGGAAAUAAAUUUCUGUAUAUGUUGCAAUUUUAGGUUUAUUUUUGUUCUUUUUGUUUUUCAUUAAUCCUCUUUCACCUCACAGAUACCCCCCUCCCAUGGCAAAUAAUAUAAUAACCAGUGAAUUUUCGGGAAUUUAAAAUUAGCUUUUUUCCACUUAAAGGAGAACAAUAUUUGGGACUAGCAGGCGCAGAGUGAGAGACGUGAACCUUGGUGAUCUCUGAUAUAGUGAGAAGAGAUUAUACUCAUGAAAGAGAAUGUUAGUGUUACAGAGAAGCAGCCGAUAGGAAAUCAACUGUAGAGACUUGGAGGCGGCGGCAUUGCUCCAGGUCAUCAUCAGUGUGGUAUUAUCUAUGAGAACUUGAGCGACAGAGUAUUUCUUGAUGAAUUUAUAGAUCAUUUGAGAUGUUGAGUUACUUUUGUUUUGUUUUCAAAUAGGUAGAGACUAUUAAUGUAAAAACACAAGAAAGGAAAAUGAAAUGUGCGUGUUGAGAGCAAUAAUUUGUUUCUUUUAAAGAUUCUGAAAGAUCUGAGACCUGUAGCAUUAAUUAUUUGAGUGCCCUCCCUUCUCCCCUCCCCUCCCUUUCUCUUCUCUUCUUUCAUCUCCUCUCCUUCUCCUUUAUUCAUUGUUUUGCUUUGGAAUAGGUUGUUCAAGUAUUUGGUUUGGUUCUGGCAUUUUGUUCCCACCAUCCCCUUCCCCCAUUAACUUCCCCCCUGCUUGCCAUCCUGCAGUAGUAUAAAUCAUGAAUAAAAAAUAAUUUUGCUGUUGUAGUAUACAUUGGGGAAACUAGCAGGGUUUUAUUUCCGUUAUUUUAUUCCCACUAUAUCUAUGAUAAGAUACAAUUAUAAGGAGAGAAGUGACUGUUUUUUAUUGAUAAGGCAAGAUUUUCAGAAAAAUGAGUAAAAUAAUUAAUGAAACAUAUUUAGAGCACUUAAUGGUCUCUGUUUUCAAUAUAAUUCUUGAUUUCAUUUUUCUCUGGAAUAUAUUGGCCUUCUACAGCUAUUACUGAAUUACAGAAACUGGUUUAUUUCUGUCAGAAAGCUGCAGUGCCACCUGAGUUCCAAAUUUUAACAUUCUUUGUAAAUGGAUGGAUUAUGAUAAAGAAGAUGCUACCAAUGAAAUAGAAAACCAACGAGAUGAGAAGACUGUGAUCCUCAUGCACUCAGAGGCACUUCCCUUCUAAGUCAAAGACCAUUCUCACUGACUAUGUGCCAAGGCCUCACUUCAGGCUUGUGACUCAACAAAGGGCUUUUCCAUUGAUAGAAGCAGUUUGGGAUUUGUAGCUACAACUUCUUCAAUAGUUACCUGCAUGUCCAUUGCUGGCAGCUGACUUCAGUCAUUAAAACCUGGCUCUUUGGUUAAGGGAGCUACACUGUGGUUUAUUCUUAAGUUACAUGGAUAAACUAACCUCUAGCAGAAAUAUAGUUUGGUUAAUUUUGAGAUGUGUCAUUUUUAAACAAAAUCUUAAAAGCAAUACAGAAUUGUGAUUUAUUAAUUUUAAAUUAAAACAUUGAGAACUUGUUGAAAGAAAAAUUAUAUCUGAAUCAAGAUUCAUGUUUUUUAUUUUUUAUUUUAUUUUUUUUUUUUUUUGAUACAGAGUCUCACUCUGUCACUUAGGCUGGAGCGCAGUGGCAUGAUCUCAGCUCACUGCAACCUCCGCUUCCUGGGUUCAAGCAAUUCUCAUGCCUCAGCCUCCUGAGUAGCUGAGACCACAGGUGCGUGCCACCACACCCAGCUAAUUUUUUGUAUUUUUAGUAGAGACAGAGUCUCACCAUGUUGCCCAGGCUUGUCUCCAACUCCUGAGCUCAGGCAAUCUGCCCACCUUGGCCUCCCAAAGUGCUACAAUUACAGGCACGAGCCACUACACCUGGCCUCAUGUUUUUUAAAUAAUUGCCUUUUAUAUUUACCCUUUUUGUCAUCACUUUAGAAUGAAAAUUCCCAUUUAAAUCUAAAAGUUACUUUAAUAGUCCUCUUGUGUUAUUAGGACAGUGUUACUAUAGUACUUAUUUAUUAUAUUUUAGACUUUUUCUUUUUUCUUCUGCUGCUUUUAGGGACAGUUAAAACUGGGAAACUAUGAAACAUGGAACAUUUUAUCCUACCUAGAAUAGUAAAUGAGUAAUUGUGAAGCGUAAGACACCGAGGCUAAUACAACUCUGUCUUCAUGUGUCGAGUGCCUGGCACAUAGUACUAAUUCUCUUCCCUUUAACAUAUAAAUGUUAAGCUGCUUAGAGUCUAGUAACCACCAACUGUAAAUGAGCCUGUGCCUUUAACAAGAAAUUUUAAACUACCUAUGAGUAUUUCUUUAUAGGGCUCACUUAAAUACGUUUGUAUAUACUGUAUUCUAGCCAGAAUAAUUUUAGAUCUGAUCAGGUAGUAGCUAAAAUUAGAAAAAAACAAAAUAGAUGCUUAAAGAAUUUGCAUCCAUUUUUGAGUCUAAAUCUUUUUAAAUAUACUGAGAUCCACAUCUAGUGAAAUGUCAGUGUCAAAAUAUUAUAGAUUAUAGCUAAAAUCCAGAUUAAUACUCAUUUGGGGUUUUUUAUAGUGGAACUUCAUAGUAAUACAAGAAGCAGAUUGUCUUCCUGUCUCUGCUGCUCCCACAGUAGGUAUUGAAACUGGUGAAAUCAGUUUUUUGAUAGUGUGUGUAUAUAAGAAAAAAUAUAUACACACAUUCUUUUUUCUCAGUCAACACACUGAUUGAACACUCUGGCAAAGAUGCUGUGGUAGACGAGGUUGGAGUUAGAAAGAAGAAGCAAACACUGGCCUGGCCUUGAAAGAACGGAAGUCUUUCCCAUUCACUUCUCUAGAAUGCUGCCAAGACAGAGGCAGAAAGAAAUGGAUGAUAAUUCUGUCAAGCACACUUCUAUUCUUUAUUAAGAGAAACAAUUAUGUUUGGAAUUCAGCAUCUUUGGUUGGAACGCAUUGGCUUUUUUUUCUUGUUGUGAUAGAAAUGGAAUUAAGUAAAAUUAUAGUUUGUCUUUUCUGUUGUCUUCAAAUUUUAUAAUGUCUUUUAUUUUUAAUUUAAUCCCAUUCAAUUAUUUAAUUGUUAUACAUUGACAUUAACUGCUGUAUUUUAUGACUUUGUUCAAUAAUUUUGUUCUUUCAGGGCUAGAAAUAAACUUUUUUAAGAAAUGUGC
This is an RNA transcript of Homo sapiens (human), 8228 nucleotides long. It is a transcript of the gene named p21 (RAC1) activated kinase 2 pseudogene, with no coding region annotated. Lineage: Eukaryota; Metazoa; Chordata; Mammalia; Primates; Hominidae. The record is from RefSeq and is marked validated.